Molecule: ribosomal RNA, 497 nt
Filed under: uncultured bacterium
Lineage: Bacteria
Description: partial 16S ribosomal RNA
Rfam family: Bacterial small subunit ribosomal RNA
Source: RNAcentral
GAUGAACGCUGGCGGCGUGCCUAAUACAUGCAAGUCGAGCGAACAGACGAGGAGCUUGCUCCUCUGACGUUAGCGGCGGACGGGUGAGUAACACGUGGAUAACCUACCUAUAAGACUGGGAUAACUUCGGGAAACCGGAGCUAAUACCGGAUAAUAUAUUGAACCGCAUGGUUCAAUAGUGAAAGACGGUUUUGCUGUCACUUAUAGAUGGAUCCGCGCCGCAUUAGCUAGUUGGUAAGGUAACGGCUUACCAAGGCGACGAUGCGUAGCCGACCUGAGAGGGUGAUCGGCCACACUGGAACUUAGACACGGUCCAGACUCCUACGGGAGGCAGCAGUAGGGAAUCUUCCGCAAUGGGCGAAAGCCUGACGGAGCAACGCCGCGUGAGUGAUGAAGGUCUUCGGAUCGUAAAACUCUGUUAUUAGGGAAGAACAAAUGUGUAAGUAACUAUGCACGUCUUGACGGUACCUAAUCAGAAAGCCACGGCUAACUACGUC